GCUUACUUGUCGCGCAAGGCCGGAUAAAACUGUACGAACACGUUGUCUACCGUUGAUUGUGGCAGUUCCAGCAGGCGUCCUUCGGAAACGCCUUGCUUCCAACUGGCCGGUUGCGCCGAUGAAAUUGAAGUAAACCCAUUUUCCAAUUUCGCUUCGUCCUUCAAGGCGACUUCGAUCCCGCGGAACUGUCGAACUUGCCAACCUUCGCCGGCGGACGCUUUUCGCCGGGAGUAACACCAUCACGAGCAUGGUUUUGUCGGGGAAGCGCCCGGUUUUCUUUAUUUGUACACACCGCCCAAGGGCGAAUUCUGCAGAUAUCCAUCACCUGGCCGCUCGAGCAUGCAUCUAGAGGGCCCAAUUCGCCCUAUAGUAGUAUUACAAUUCA
This 385-nucleotide ribosomal RNA is filed under the name uncultured bacterium. Its description in RNAcentral is "partial 16S ribosomal RNA". The record is from RNAcentral.